GAUAGAGGUUGCGGUCUGCAUGAGUAUGCAUCGUCAGGGAACCGGUUCCCGAUGAGCCUUGCAGAAAGGGAAGAUCGCCGAAGGGUCCCCUCCGCCGGAAUGAGUGGGCCUCUGGUCGUCUGGUUAAGAGCUUGCCGACUGUCAUCAGGGGAACUGAUGGAGCGCUGUCUG
RNAcentral lists this non-coding RNA (171 nucleotides) under uncultured Lawsonibacter sp. Its description in RNAcentral is "Lysine riboswitch". It matches the Rfam family "Lysine riboswitch aptamer". From Rfam's summary of the family: Riboswitches are metabolite binding domains within certain messenger RNAs that serve as precision sensors for their corresponding targets. Allosteric rearrangement of mRNA structure is mediated by ligand binding, and this results in modulation of gene expression. This family includes riboswitches that sense lysine in a number of genes involved in lysine metabolism, including lysC. The record is from RNAcentral. Lineage: Bacteria; Bacillati; Bacillota; Clostridia; Eubacteriales; Oscillospiraceae.